UCGACAUAUUCCACGAGUGCUUGAACUGACAGGCUACCGCGGAUGUCUGUUACCAUCUCUGAUCUUGGAGCCCUUGUGCGACUGUUCUUGUGUUUCUCAGUCGUUUAGGAAUGGUGACGAUGAGGUUCGGUGCUAGGUGCUCCACCUUCUAUCCAUCGAUCUAACUGUCGGUCCAGAAUAUUGCUAUGCAUCCAUUGCCAAGCUGUACCGUAACAGAAGCGUUGACGAAGGCAUGUAACUCGAGCUCGAUCUUGAUAUGAAGCUCAAACCAGGCCCUCUCGUUGUCCGUUUCUUUAGCGCACGAGGCGACACGGCAUCACGGCGGAGCAAUGGGCUCGGGUGCUGGGUGCUCUCCACUGAGACGGGCACGUUCCCAUCUCCUUGCCGAG
Molecule: long non-coding RNA, 389 nt
Filed under: Setaria viridis
Lineage: Eukaryota; Viridiplantae; Streptophyta; Magnoliopsida; Poales; Poaceae
Description: long non-coding RNA (SVIR_LNC003837)
Source: RNAcentral